This 74-nucleotide transfer RNA is filed under the name Enterococcus faecium. RNAcentral's name for it is "tRNA-Met". The record is from RNAcentral. Lineage: Bacteria; Bacillati; Bacillota; Bacilli; Lactobacillales; Enterococcaceae.
GAACACUGAUUAACAGUUGGUCAGAGCAAACGGCUCAUAACCGUCCGGUCGUAGGUUGAGUCCUACAGGGUACA